Molecule: ribosomal RNA, 492 nt
Filed under: uncultured bacterium
Lineage: Bacteria
Description: partial 16S ribosomal RNA
Rfam family: Bacterial small subunit ribosomal RNA
Source: RNAcentral
AGUGAACGCUGGCGGUAGGCCUAACACAUGCAAGUCGAACGGCAGCACAGUAAGAGCUUGCUCUUACGGGUGGCGAGUGGCGGACGGGUGAGGAAUACAUCGGAAUCUACUUUUUCGUGGGGGAUAACGUAGGGAAACUUACGCUAAUACCGCAUACGACCUACGGGUGAAAGCAGGGGAUCUUCGGACCUUGCGCGAUUGAAUGAGCCGAUGUCGUAUUAGCUAGUUGGCGGGGUAAAGGCCCACCAAGGCGACGAUCCGUAGCUGGUCUGAGAGGAUGGUCGGCGACACUGGAACUGAGCCACGGUCCAGACUCCUACGGGAGGCAGCAGUGGGGAAUAUUAGACAAUGGGCGCAAGCCUGAUCCAGCCAUACCGCGUGGGUGAAGAAGGCCUUCGGGUUGUAAAGCCCUUUUGUUGGGAAAGAAAAGCAGCAGGUUAAUACCCCGCUGUUCUGACGGUACCCAAAGAAUAAGCACCGGCUAACUUCGUG